This 493-nucleotide ribosomal RNA is filed under the name Pseudarthrobacter sp. RNAcentral's name for it is "bacterial SSU rRNA". It matches the Rfam family "Bacterial small subunit ribosomal RNA", at positions 583 to 1075 of the family's 1533-position model. Lineage: Bacteria; Bacillati; Actinomycetota; Actinomycetes; Micrococcales; Micrococcaceae. The record is from RNAcentral.
UCGCGUCUGCCGUGAAAGUCCGGGGCUCAACUCCGGAUCUGCGGUGGGUACGGGCAGACUAGAGUGAUGUAGGGGAGACUGGAAUUCCUGGUGUAGCGGUGAAAUGCGCAGAUAUCAGGAGGAACACCGAUGGCGAAGGCAGGUCUCUGGGCAUUAACYGACGCUGAGGAGCGAAAGCAUGGGGAGCGAACAGGAUUAGAUACCCUGGUAGUCCAUGCCGUAAACGUUGGGCACUAGGUGUGGGGGACAUUCCACGUUUUCCGCGCCGUAGCUAACGCAUUAAGUGCCCCGCCUGGGGAGUACGGCCGCAAGGCUAAAACUCAAAGGAAUUGACGGGGGCCCGCACAAGCGGCGGAGCAUGCGGAUUAAUUCGAUGCAACGCGAAGAACCUUACCAAGGCUURACAUGAACCGGUAACGCCUGGAGACAGGUGCCCCGCUUGCGGUCGGUUUACUAGGUGGUGCAUGGUGUCGUCAGCUCGUGUCGGAGAUUG